Oncorhynchus tshawytscha (Chinook salmon) is the source of this 537-nucleotide long non-coding RNA. Lineage: Eukaryota; Metazoa; Chordata; Actinopteri; Salmoniformes; Salmonidae. The record is from Ensembl.
CAGGGGGUACCGGUACAGAGUCAAUGUGGAGGCUAUAUACAGGGUAUUACGGUACAGAGUCAAUGUGGAGGCUAUAUACAGGGGGUACCGGUACAGAGUCUAUGUGGAGGCUAUAUACAGGGGGUACCAGUACAGAGUCAAUGUGGAGGCUAUAUACAGGGUAUUACGGUACAGAGUCAAUGUGGAGGCUAUAUACAGGGGGUACCGGUACAGAGUCAAUGUGGAGGCUAUAUACAGGGGCACCGGUACAGAGUCAAUGUGGAGGCUAUAUACAGGGGUACUGGUACAGAGUCAAUGUGGAGGCUAUAUACAGGGUAUUACGGUACAGAGUCAAUGUGGAGGCUAUAUACAGGGUAUUACGGUACAGAGUCAAUGUGGAGGCUAUAUACAGGGUAUUACGGUACAGAGUCAAUGUGGAGGCUAUAUACAGGGGGCACUGGUACAGAGUCAAUGUGGAGGCUAUAUACAGGGGGCACCGGUACAGAGUCAAUGUGGAGGCUAUAUACAGGGGUUACCGGUACAGAGUCAAUGUGGAGG